This is a long non-coding RNA of Prosopis cineraria, 163 nucleotides long. RefSeq lists it as uncharacterized. The transcript is spliced from 3 exons. The record is from RefSeq and is a predicted model, not a curated record. Lineage: Eukaryota; Viridiplantae; Streptophyta; Magnoliopsida; Fabales; Fabaceae.
GUUGUGUCAUUAAUGGCUGCAUUGGGCUUCUUGCUUUGUGGAGGAAGAUUGUUUCUCAUGCUGAGGCACUUCCCCAUUGAAUCUAGAGGGAGAAGGAGGAAGCUUCAUGAGGUUGGAUCUGUCACAGCCAUAUGUUUCACCUGCUUUCUGAUCCGAUGCUUUU